AUAGCAUUAGGAGAUAUACCUAAUGUAAAUGAUGAGUUAAUGGGUGCAGCACACCAACAUGGCACAUGUAUACCUAUGUAACAAACCUGCACAUUGUGUACAUGUACCCUAGAACUUAAAGUAUAAUUAAAAAACAAAACAAAACAAAACAAAAACAAUGAGGUGCUAUUGUUUUAGUGGUGAGUAUCCGGAGACCUGGGAGUUCUAUUUACCAGGUAUAACCUGGGCUCAAAAUUCCAGGCUGACUUCAGGCAUGUCCUCAUCUCAUAGAUGCCAGCACUAAGGCCCAGAGAGGGCCGAGCUCAUUCAGCCCACCCAUCUUCUCACCCCUGACUGCAUUUCCCGGGGGUCCUUCUGCAGCCAGGUGCUGCUGUGGUACUUUGGGAUCUAUUGGCUGAGCUCCCAGAGAAGGGUCAUGGAUUGGGCUAGUUUGGAACAAGUGAAGGGACUGAAGAUGGGCUCAGUAUGGGGCGAAGACCUUCAGGAAGGGUCUGCAGAGUGAGUAGGGGGGUUUUGACUAGGAAAAGUUCCAACCCUGCCGGGGCCGCUGUCAAGAGAAAAGCAUCUAUUACAGUUACAUUUUUAAGUUAAGUAGACUGAAGAAUAUUUCUUGUGUAUUAAAGACGUUCCUUUUUGGUUGAUUUGCAAUGGAAAAGCUUUUGUUUUCUUUUUUUUUUUGGAAACAGGGUCUCACUCUGCUCACUCUGUCUCCCAAGCUGGAGUGCAGUGGUACAGUCACGGCUCACUGCAGCCUCCACUUCCUGGACUCAAGUGAUCUUCUCACUUCAGCCUUCUGAGUAGCUGGGACUACAGCCCCCUCUGCAGCUCUUCAUGGGGGUCCACUCAAGUCAGAAGCCACAUUUGGGUGUGAUUCAGAGAGCUGUUUAUGCAAAACCAGCUUUGUCACCAUCAGGCAAGGCACCUGAAUUCCCACCGCAGAGAGUGUUGUGGCCGUGAGGACUUUUCUGUCACCAGCCAUUUCCAGGUAGACCCAGUGUAAUCACAAGCAUCCUUGUAAGUGGCAAAGAGGCAGAGGAGACAGCGCCAGAGAGGCAGCUGCAUGAGAAGGAUCAAGAUGUUGCUGACUUUGAAGUUGGAAGAAGAAGGCCAUGAGCCUCAGUAUGUGGGCGGCUUCUAGAAGCUGGAAGGGGCAAGGAGAUGGAUUUGACCCUUCAGCCUCCAGGGGCAGCUGUACCUGCCAUCACUGAUUGUAGCCUGGUGAGGCCUGUUUUAGACUUCUGACCUGUAGAGCUGUAACAUAAUACAUUUGGGUUGUUUUCAACCACUAAGUUUGUGGUAAUUUGUUGUAGCAGCUGUAGAAAAUGAAUACAUAUGAAUCCUCUGGCAUUUGUUUGAGAUUUGCUCUAUGGCCUAGUAUGUGGUUGUAAAUGUUCCAUCUGUGCCUGAAAAAAUGUAUAUUUCUAAUUCAGUAGUCUCUGCUUUUUUUUUUUAUUUUGUACCCCAUCAAUAAAAUGAUUUUCAGCAUGUAUCCCCAAA
Molecule: long non-coding RNA, 1497 nt
Filed under: Homo sapiens (human)
Lineage: Eukaryota; Metazoa; Chordata; Mammalia; Primates; Hominidae
Description: non-protein coding CD27-AS1:21
Source: RNAcentral